RNAcentral lists this ribosomal RNA (371 nucleotides) under uncultured bacterium. RNAcentral's name for it is "bacterial SSU rRNA". It matches the Rfam family "Bacterial small subunit ribosomal RNA", at positions 525 to 896 of the family's 1533-position model. The record is from RNAcentral.
ACGUAGGGUGCGAGCGUUAAUCGGAAUUACUGGGCGUAAAGCGUGCGCAGGCGGUUCGCUAAGUCUGAUGUGAAAGCCCCGGGCUCAACCUGGGAACUGCAUUGGAAACUGGCGAGCUUGAGUGUGGCAGAGGGGGGUGGAAUUCCACGUGUAGCAGUGAAAUGCGUAGAGAUGUGGAGGAACACCGAUGGCGAAGGCAGCCCCCUGGGCUAACACUGACGCUCAGGCACGAAAGCGUGGGGAGCAAACAGGAUUAGAUACCCUGGUAGUCCACGCCCUAAACUAUGUCAACUGGGUGUUGGGGAAGCGAUUCCUCAGUACCGUAGCUAACGCGUGAAGUUGACCGCCUGGGGAGUACGGCCGCAAGGUUA